Molecule: ribosomal RNA, 274 nt
Filed under: uncultured bacterium
Lineage: Bacteria
Description: partial 16S ribosomal RNA
Rfam family: Bacterial small subunit ribosomal RNA
Source: RNAcentral
AUACGGAGGGGGCAAGCGUUGUUCGGAAUUAUUGGGCGUAAAGCGUAUGUAGGCGGUUAAACAAGUCAGGUGUGUAAGCCCACGGCUCAACCGUGGAAUUGCAUUUGAAACUGUUUGACUUGAGUUCAGGAGAGGAAAGCGGAAUUCCCAGUGUAGCGGUGAAAUGCAUUGAUAUUGGGAAGAACACCGGUGGCGAAGGCGGCUUUCUGGCCUGACACUGACGCUGAGAUACGAAAGCCAGGGGAGCGAACGGGAUUAGAAACCCCGGUAGUCC